ACGAACGCUGGCGGCGUGCUUAACACAUGCAAGUCGAACGGAAAGGCCCUGCUUUUGUGGGGUGCUCGAGUGGCGAACGGGUGAGUAACACGUGAGUAACCUGCCCUUGACUUUGGGAUAACUUCAGGAAACUGGGGCUAAUACCGGAUAGGAGCUCCUGCUGCAUGGUGGGGGUUGGAAAGUUUCGGCGGUUGGGGAUGGACUCGCGGCUUAUCAGCUUGUUGGUGGGGUAGUGGCUUACCAAGGCUUUGACGGGUAGCCGGCCUGAGAGGGUGACCGGCCACAUUGGGACUGAGAUACGGCCCAGACUCCUACGGGAGGCAGCAGUGGGGAAUAUUGCAAAAUGGGCGGAAGCCUGAUGCAGCAACGCCGCGUGCGGGAUGAAGGCCUUCAGGUUGUAAACCGCUUCCGCCUGUGACGAAGCGUGAGUGACGGUAAUGGGUAAAGAAGCACCGGCUAACUACGUG
This 467-nucleotide ribosomal RNA is filed under the name uncultured bacterium. RNAcentral's name for it is "partial 16S ribosomal RNA". It matches the Rfam family "Bacterial small subunit ribosomal RNA", at positions 29 to 507 of the family's 1533-position model. The record is from RNAcentral.